AUGCUCCACGAUUUUCUUCACAGGCUCUUUUCUUUCUGUCAUUCUUCUUCCCUCCUUUCUACUAAUGAAGGGCUUUGCUCUCCUCGACUUGUGCAUAUUUUCAUGCUUGGAUGAGAAGAUCGGCAUAGUCCUUCAAGAAGUUUUUGUUGAGGAAGAAGAUCAAGUAUUCAUCUUUGAGUUCUCGCUUCAUUGUCGACAUGAUGAUAGAC
RNAcentral lists this long non-coding RNA (209 nucleotides) under Elaeis guineensis (African oil palm). Its description in RNAcentral is "long non-coding RNA (EGUI_LNC039034)". Lineage: Eukaryota; Viridiplantae; Streptophyta; Magnoliopsida; Arecales; Arecaceae. The record is from RNAcentral.